UGAGGAAUAUUGCGCAAUGGGGGCAACCCUGACGACGCAACGCCGCGUGAGUGAGGAAGGUUUUCGGAUUGUAAAGCUCUGUCGAGCGGAAAGAAAUGCUUGGUGGUUAAUACCCAUCAGGCUUGACGGUACCGCUAAAGGAAGCACCGGCUAACUCCGUGCCAGCAGCCGCGGUAAUACGGGGGGUGCAAGCGUUGUUCGGAAUCAUUGGGCGUAACGCGCGUGUAGGCGGCUUAACAAGUCAGAUGUGAAAUCCCUGGGCUUAACCCAG
RNAcentral lists this ribosomal RNA (271 nucleotides) under uncultured prokaryote. RNAcentral describes it as "partial 16S ribosomal RNA". It matches the Rfam family "Bacterial small subunit ribosomal RNA", at positions 355 to 617 of the family's 1533-position model. The record is from RNAcentral.